Anopheles funestus (African malaria mosquito) is the source of this 2847-nucleotide long non-coding RNA. RefSeq lists it as uncharacterized. The record is from RefSeq and is a predicted model, not a curated record. The transcript has 3 exons. Lineage: Eukaryota; Metazoa; Arthropoda; Insecta; Diptera; Culicidae.
UUUUCAAUUUUUUUCAUUAUUUUUUACCUUUUUUUAAUUUAAAGCAUUGUUUGAGUGAAAAGGAACUAAUUGCAACAAUUUCGCAUUAAAAUAAAACAAAUUUUUAAAUUUUGCUAAAUUUCUCAAAAAAAUGGCAAGGGGUACCCCUUAUGAAAUUUUCGAGCGGAAAAUUGUUUUGAAAUUUUUUUCUGAUUUUUUAUUCUUUUUUUAAUUUAAAGCAUUAUUUGAGUGAAAAGAAACUUAUUGCAACAAAUUCGCAAUGAAAUAUAUCACAUUUAAAAAUUUUGCUGAAUUGCAGAAAAAUGAGGAACAUUUUACAUUUUCUCAAACAGGGUAAGGGACUUGGUUCCUCGCAUAACUUCUGGCACAGACAUCUGAGGGCAUGGCCGUCCAAGAAGAAAAUGUAGUCAUUGAUGCCAUCUAUCGACCACAGGCAAAGAUUGGAGAUCCGUUAGAUACCGACCGAGUUAUAGGCAAAAUUUGGUGCAAAAAUGAGGAAAAUUUUACAUUUUCUCAAACAGGGUAAGGAACUUGGUUCCUCACAUAACUUCUGGCACAGACAUCUGAGGGCAUGGCCGUCCACGAAGAAAAUGUAGUCAUUGAUGCCAUCUAUCGACCACAGGCAAAAAUUGGAGAUCCGUUAGAUACCGACCGAGUUAUAGGCAAAAUUUGGUGCAAAAAUGAGGAAAAUUUUACAUUUUCUCAAACAGGGUAAGGAACUUGGUUCCUCGCAUAACUUCUGGCACAGACAUCUGAGGGCAUGGCCGUCCACAAAGAAAAUGUAGCCAUUGGUGCCAUCUAUCGACCACAGGUUAAAGAUUGGCGAUCCGUUGGAUACCGACCGAGCUAUAGGCAAAACUUGGUGCGAAAAUGAGCCUUAGUGGAUAGACAAAUUUAUAGAUUUUUUCAAUUUUUUUCAUUAUUUUUUACCUUUUUUUAAUUUAAAGCAUUGUUUGAGUGAAAAGGAACUAAUUGCAACAAUUUCGCAUUAAAAUAAAACAAAUUUUUAAAUUUUGCUAAAUUUCUCAAAAAAAUGGCAAGGGGUACCCCUUAUGAAAUUUUCGAGCGGAAAAUUGUUUUGAAAUUUUUUUCUGAUUUUUUAUUCUUUUUUUAAUUUAAAGCAUUAUUUGAGUGAAAAGAAACUUAUUACAACAAACUCGCAAUAAAAUAUAUCACAUUUAAAAAUUUUGCUGAAUUGCAGAAAAAUGAGGAACAUUUUACAUUUUCUCUAACAGGGUAAGGAACUUGGUUCCUCGCAUAACUUCUGGCACAGACAUCUGAGGGCAUGGCCGUCCAAGAAGAAAAUGUAGCCAUUGAUGCCAUCUAUCGACCACAGGCAAAAAUUGGAGAUCCGUUAGAUACCGACCGAGUUAUAGGCAAAAUUUGGUGCAAAAAUGAGGAAAAUUUUACAUUUUCUCAAACAGGGUAAGGAACUUGGUUCCUCGCAUAACUUCUGGCACAGACAUCUGAGGGCAUGGCCGUCCACAAAGAAAAUGUAGCCAUUGGUGCCAUCUAUCGACCACAGGUUAAAGAUUGGCGAUCCGUUGGAUACCGACCGAGCUAUAGGCAAAACUUGGUGCGAAAAUGAGCCUUAGUGGAUAGACAAAUUUAUAGAUUUUUUCAAUUUUUUUCAUUAUUUUUUACCUUUUUUUAAUUUAAAGCAUUGUUUGAGUGAAAAGGAACUAAUUGCAACAAUUUCGCAUUAAAAUAAAACAAAUUUUUAAAUUUUGCUAAAUUUCUCAAAAAAAUGGCAAGGGGUACCCCUUAUGAAAUUUUCGAGCGGAAAAUUGUUUUGAAAUUUUUUUCUGAUUUUUUAUUCUUUUUUUAAUUUAAAGCAUUAUUUGAGUGAAAAGAAACUUAUUACAACAAACUCGCAAUAAAAUAUAUCACAUUUAAAAAUUUUGCUGAAUUGCAGAAAAAUGAGGAACAUUUUACAUUUUCUCUAACAGGGUAAGGAACUUGGUUCCUCGCAUAACUUCUGGCACAGACAUCUGAGGGCAUGGCCGUCCAAGAAGAAAAUGUAGCCAUUGAUGCCAUCUAUCGACCACAGGUUAAAGAUUGGCGAUCCGUUGGAUACCGACCGAGUUAUAGGCAAAAUUUGGUGCAAAAAUGAGGAACAUUUUACAUUUUCUCAAACAGGGUAAGGAACUUGGUUCCUCGCAUAACUUCUGGCACAGACAUCUGAGGGCAUGGCCGUCCAAGAAGAAAAUGUAGUCAUUGAUGCCAUCUAUCGACCACAGGCAAAAAUUGGAGAUCCGUUAGAUACCGACCGAGUUAUAGGCAAAAUUUGGUGCAAAAAUGAGGAAAAUUUUACAUUUUCUCAAACAGGGUAAGGAACUUGGUUCCUCGCAUAACUUCUGGCACAGACAUCUGAGGGCAUGGCCGUCCACAAAGAAAAUGUAGCCAUUGGUGCCAUCUAUCGACCACAGGUUAAAGAUUGGAGAUCCGUUAGAUACCGACCGAGUUAUAGGCAAAAUUUGAUGCAAAAAUGAGGAAAGUUUUACAUUUUCUCGAACAGGGUAAGGAACUUGGUUCCUCGCAUAACUUCUGGCACAGACAUCUGAGGGCAUGGCCGUCCACGAAGAAAAUGUAGCCAUUGAUGCCAUCUAUCGACCACAGGCAAAGAUUGGAGAUCCGUUAGAUACCGACCGAGUUAUAGGCAAAAUUUGGUGCGAAAAUGAGCCUUAGUGGAUAGACAAAUUUAUAGAUUUUUUUCAAUGUUUUUCAUUAUUUUUUACCUUUUUUUAAUUUAAAGCAUUGUUUGAGUGAAACGGAACUAAUUGCAACAAUUUAGCAUUAAAAUAAAACAAAUUUUUAAAUUUUGCUAAAUUUCUCAAAAAAAUGGCA